This 244-nucleotide long non-coding RNA is filed under the name Lathyrus oleraceus (garden pea). Its description in RNAcentral is "Pisum sativum (pea) long non-coding RNA (PSAT_LNC026052)". The record is from RNAcentral. Lineage: Eukaryota; Viridiplantae; Streptophyta; Magnoliopsida; Fabales; Fabaceae.
UUUUGUCAAACUUUGUUUGACCUUGUUGAACUUGGGAUAAUUCACUUGGACUUUUCAAAGUUGAUUUGAAGUGAGUUUUAAGUUUGACCUUUCUUUAUUAUUUUAAUUCAAGUAAUUUUUUGUCAAACUUUGUUUGACCUUGUUGAACUUGGGAUAAUUCACUUGGACUUUUCAAAGUUGAUUUGAAGUGAGUUUUAAGUUUGACCUUUCUUUAUUAUUUUAAUUCAAGUUUUAUUUUAAUAUU